CUUAACCUAGCGGCGGACGGGUGAGUAAUGCUUAGGAAUCUGCCUAUUAGUGGGGGACAACAUCUCGAAAGGGAUGCUAAUACCGCAUACGUCCUACGGGAGAAAGCAGGGGACCUUCGGGCCUUGCGCUAAUAGAUGAGCCUAAGUCGGAUUAGCUAGUUGGUGGGGUAAAGGCCUACCAAGGCGACGAUCUGUAGCGGGUCUGAGAGGAUGAUCCGCCACACUGGGACUGAGACACGGCCCAGACUCCUACGGGAGGCAGCAGUGGGGAAUAUUGGACAAUGGGGGGAACCCUGAUCCAGCCAUGCCGCGUGUGUGAAGAAGGCCUUUUGGUUGUAAAGCACUUUAAGCGAGGAGGAGGCUACCGAGAUUAAUACUCUUGGAUAGUGGACGUUACUCGCAGAAUAAGCACCGGCUAACUCUGUGCCAGCAGCCGCGGUAAUACAGAGGGUGCAAGCGUUAAUCGGAUUUACUGGGCGUAAAGCGCGCGUAGGUGGCCAAUUAAGUCAAAUGUGAAAUCCCCGAGCUUAACUUGGGAAUUGCAUUCGAUACUGGUUGGCUAGAGUAUGGGAGAGGAUGGUAGAAUUCCAGGUGUAGCGGUGAAAUGCGUAGAGAUCUGGAGGAAUACCGAUGGCGAAGGCAGCCAUCUGGCCUAAUACUGACACUGAGGUGCGAAAGCAUGGGGAGCAAACAGGAUUAGAUACCCUGGUAGUCCAUGCCGUAAACGAUGUCUACUAGCCGUUGGGGCCUUUGAGGCUUUAGUGGCGCAGCUAACGCGAUAAGUAGACCGCCUGGGGAGUA
This 801-nucleotide ribosomal RNA is filed under the name uncultured bacterium. Its description in RNAcentral is "bacterial SSU rRNA". It matches the Rfam family "Bacterial small subunit ribosomal RNA", at positions 86 to 882 of the family's 1533-position model. The record is from RNAcentral.